RNAcentral lists this long non-coding RNA (1241 nucleotides) under Triticum aestivum (bread wheat). RNAcentral describes it as "long non-coding RNA (TAES_LNC005384)". Lineage: Eukaryota; Viridiplantae; Streptophyta; Magnoliopsida; Poales; Poaceae. The record is from RNAcentral.
CUUCAUCUGUGCUAACACUCUACCACCUAAUUAGUUGCUCCUAUCAUUGUGUUAGAGUGCGCUUUCUGGUCAUUUCAGCAGCCGCUUACUGCUGAUUUGGUAACUGGAAUGGAGGAAUCCUCUAAAAUUCUAUUGCCUGGUCGUGUUUUAGCAUACCUUGUCGUAGAUACCGUUGGCCCCGUAGUUCUUAUAGGUUAACAAUAUGCUGAACUAUGUCAGUAACUUUAUUGCAGUAAUUGCUAAGUUUAUGCCCCACCCUCACCAACCUCAGGACCUAUGUUUUAAAGGCGUCCCUAAGGCGACGCCUAGGCGACGCCUAGGCGUCAAAGCGCUCCCCCUCCGCUUUGGAAAAUCGACCGCUUUGGGCGCCUAGGCGUCCAAAGCGCCCGCCUAGGCGUCGCCUAGGCGCCAAAGCGCCCCCCCUCCCUAAGGCGGUAAGGCGUCGCCUUAAAAACAUAGCUCAGGACGAACCUUGUUGUUUCCUGUAUAUGCACUGCUAGGAUUGAAUGGAGUUCAGCGUGCUAGACUAUGCCAAAACAUUGUCAGUUAAUGUUUCAGUCCAGAGACGCAGUGCACCACAACAUCUUGGCUCUGUUUAUAGGCUUCAGGCAGUAAAAUGUUUGUAUGAAAGGCUCUGAUCAGUUUCAGCAUUGGUCUAUGAUGUGAAUCGAUGUUCCAUCUGAUGCAAAGGAUGAUGGUGUAGCUUCUUUGGAGUAAUAGUACAUUGCAGAUGUUUAGGGGCAGGAUGGUUGGCAGAAAGAGUAACAAUGUGGUGCUGUUCCUGAUGCAUUUGAGCUAGUUCGUGGUUGGAAGUUCUGGUUGCUAAUGUCUUGGAGAUUGGAAUUAUCCAGAUCGGCAUCAUGAAUUGUUACUCUUUUCUUUGGAUGACCAGGAUCAUAAAUUUGGCAAGUUAAAUUGCUUGCGAUGUUUACAUCAAUCAAGUAAAAACCGUUGUGGUUCCUCUACAAGGCAAGCUGAAGGCCAUUAUGUGCAAGUUUGUCAACUUAAGAUGUUAGAGCUGGCUGAGUUUUUGAAGUAUGGCACAUACCAAUAGUAGCAUAGGAUCCACUGUAGUUGUAUCGCGCAUAUGCAUGCUAUAUUAGGGCAUCUCCAACGCCGGCCCCAAAAUGGACAUUGUAUUUGUUUGUGGACGGAUCCGGACCAUUCCGCGGGCAUUGAUGUCGGAGCCGGCCAUCCAACCCUUCCCCUAAACGUCCGUCUCUGUUUUUUUUUCUAAGUCC